CAGCACCUCAAGUGGUCAGGAUGAUUAUUGGGCCUAAAGCAUCCGUAGCCGGCGCUGUAAGUUUUCGGUUAAAUCUGUACGCUCAACGUAUAGGCUGCCGGGAAUACUGCAGCGCUAGGGAGUGGGAGAGGUAGACGGUACUCGGUAGGAAGGGGUAAAAUCCUUUGAUCUAUUGAUGACCACCUGUGGCGAAGGCGGUCUACCAGAACACGUCCGACGGUGAGGGAUGAAAGCUGGGGGAGCAAACCGGAUUAGAUACCCGGGUAGUCC
Molecule: ribosomal RNA, 270 nt
Filed under: uncultured archaeon
Lineage: Archaea
Description: partial 16S ribosomal RNA
Rfam family: Archaeal small subunit ribosomal RNA
Source: RNAcentral